RNAcentral lists this ribosomal RNA (19 nucleotides) under Caulerpa taxifolia. Its description in RNAcentral is "partial 18S ribosomal RNA". The record is from RNAcentral. Lineage: Eukaryota; Viridiplantae; Chlorophyta; Ulvophyceae; Bryopsidales; Caulerpaceae. RNAcentral also lists the same sequence under 2 other names.
ACCUGCGAAAGGAUCAUUA